Molecule: ribosomal RNA, 312 nt
Filed under: Triticum aestivum (bread wheat)
Lineage: Eukaryota; Viridiplantae; Streptophyta; Magnoliopsida; Poales; Poaceae
Description: partial small subunit ribosomal RNA
Source: RNAcentral
AUGACGCCCCCGCCGGCGGCGGCACCAUCGCUGCCUGACGAGAUUCUAGAGGAGAUAUUCCUCCGCCUCCCGCCGGACGAGCCUGCGUGCCUCGUGCGCUCCUCCCUCGCUAACAAGCUUUGGCUCGGCCUCCUCUCCAGCCCUGCCUUCCUCGGGCGCUACCGCGAGUUCCAUGGAGCUCCUCCCAUGCUGGGCUUCCUUCAUACCUGGCUGGAGGGUUGCGAACCGGAGGAGAAAUAUCCCGUCCCCCACUUCACCUCCACCACGAAUUCGCCGCGCGCAUUCCUCAUGUCGACGACUGGGUGCACCUGA